CCCAAAGGCACAAUGAAGACCAGGGAGUUACAGAAAAUAGUUUACAAUUGUCGGAAAACUGAGAUGCAAGAACAAGACAGAAAGCUGAGUCUCGUAUCUUAUUCAGUGAAUACCUUUUUACAACAGCUUAACUGUCUAUUAUAUGCUUUUUCAGUGAAUACCUUUGUAAUACUCCUACAAAGAACCCAAAAACAACUCCAGCGAAUGUCGUAACUAUUAGCAAGUUUUUGUAAAUACGCUCUAGAAAAUAUCAACCACAGUAACAAUGUUUUUCCUCUUUCUUCCAAAGCACUGAUUAUUCUUUUGGCUAAAACAAACACUAUCAACAACUUUGCUUAAAAAAGCUACUCAAUUUUUAAUUUCUAGUACAAUUAUAAUUCUUGAGAUAAAUUUCAAAUACUUGGAUAAUAUCAAUUAUUUUUGGGUAUCAUUGAAUAGAAAAGAGUGUUAAACAUAUGUGCAAAAGGAAGAGACAGGUGUUUAAAGACGUGAAAUAAAGAGGACAAAAAGUUGGGAAUUAGGAUUGCAUGCACAUUGAAGAAACUAACAGAAUCAUAGAGGCACUAAAAACAGAAAGCCAAAGAGUAAAAAAUAAAAAUUUAUUCCAUAUAAAAAUCCAAAGCCAAAUCAAGUUAAUAAGUUCCUGCAAUAACUACAUAUAUCGAAUAUAGAAUACAAGAAUAAUAAGACACAAAACAAAUCAACGAGCUUACUUAUAAUAUGAGCUCCAGGUAUAAACAGAGACAUUACAUUACCUUACAAAUGUUGGUUGCCGUACUCUAAUUCCUUGCAGUUUUGGGGCCAAAUAACAACGUUAAUCUCUGGACAUGUUGCAUAGAUAACAUGACAAUUACAAUCCACUUAUGAAAGUGUUAAUUAAAAACCUUUUCAUGUAGUCACUUUAUCAAAGAUGUAGGUUCAACCUACAAAACUUAAAAAUUAAAAUGAAAGAUUCAACAGAAUAUGCCACAAAAUAAAAACUAAGGCAAUUCUUUUUCUUUAAUGCAUUCCAUCAAACACCUAGUGGGCUUCGUUAGAAACUAUUUCGUCUAAUUUUUUUUCAGUCCAGAAAAUACCAAAUUAGCCCCAAAAAAGAAAAGACUGCUGAAUAAUAUCAUCAAAAUGCAAAGUUCAUACGUUCAAGAUGCAUUCGGCAUAGACAUAAGCACUUGAAUGUACAUGAACAUUUAAUAGCUUGAGCUUUAGCAUGUCAGUAGAGAUAAUUUGAGAAACAACCAUGAAUCCAGCCCAAAAAUCAGAAAAAAAAGGAAAAAAUUGACAAAAUUUAGAAGACCUAACAACUUAAUCAAUUUAAAAUCUAUUUGCAAUCUCACGUAUUUCUCUGAGAAUCUAAAUUCAAAUCCACCAAAAUGGAAAUCGGUAGCAUAAUCUCAAAACAAAAAUCAACAUAUAUGAAAAUGAAUUUACUCGAUCUUCUAUUUUGAAAAGCAAUGCAAGUCCUAUGAACGGAAAAUUUACCUCAGAGCAGCGGCGGCUUGGCCUGGCUUUGAACACUAUUUGAACACUAUUUGAACGGAAAAUUUGCGCGUGCAUCGUCGUCGUAGUCGUCGUCAGUGUUCUAACGACAGCAAGAACACUAUUUGAACAACGGCAAAGAUGCGGGAUUGAUUUCUAGGGUUUGGCAAGCGUGUUGUUUCACAGUGUUAGUUGAUGAGUGGCAUGCGUUAUGUGGUGAGCAAUAAGUGAUUAAGUGAGUUCGGUGACAUGAGAAAUUUUU
This 1738-nucleotide long non-coding RNA is filed under the name Citrus sinensis (sweet orange). RNAcentral's name for it is "long non-coding RNA (CSIN_LNC000193)". Lineage: Eukaryota; Viridiplantae; Streptophyta; Magnoliopsida; Sapindales; Rutaceae. The record is from RNAcentral.